RNAcentral lists this transfer RNA (67 nucleotides) under Marmota monax (woodchuck). Its description in RNAcentral is "tRNA.Ala". Lineage: Eukaryota; Metazoa; Chordata; Mammalia; Rodentia; Sciuridae. The record is from RNAcentral.
GGGUUGUGGCUCAUCGGUAGAGCACUCGACUUGCACGUGAAGACCCUGGGUUCAAUCCUCAGAUCCA